Fusarium torreyae is the source of this 119-nucleotide non-coding RNA. The record is from the annotation of a GenBank genome assembly. NCBI's taxonomy places the organism in Eukaryota, Fungi, Ascomycota, Sordariomycetes, Hypocreales, Nectriaceae.
GUCAAGAUGGCCGAGUGGUCUAAGGCGCUGCACUCAAGAUCCUUGCGAGGUCUUUCCCAUAAGAGAUGGGACGCAUUGCAGUAUCGAAAGAUUCUUGGGUUCGAAUCCCAAUCUUGACA